RNAcentral lists this transfer RNA (70 nucleotides) under Camelus bactrianus (Bactrian camel). It matches the Rfam family "tRNA". Rfam says of the family: Transfer RNA (tRNA) molecules are approximately 80 nucleotides in length. Their secondary structure includes four short double-helical elements and three loops (D, anti-codon, and T loops). Lineage: Eukaryota; Metazoa; Chordata; Mammalia; Artiodactyla; Camelidae. RNAcentral also lists the same sequence under 2 other names. The record is from Rfam by way of RNAcentral.
GGGUAUAGCUCAGUGGUAGAGCACAUGCUUAGUAUGCAUGAGGUCCUGGGUUCAAUCCCCAGUACCUCCA